This 476-nucleotide ribosomal RNA is filed under the name uncultured bacterium. Its description in RNAcentral is "partial 16S ribosomal RNA". It matches the Rfam family "Bacterial small subunit ribosomal RNA", at positions 28 to 523 of the family's 1533-position model. The record is from RNAcentral.
GACGAACGCUGGUGGCGUGCUUAACACAUGCAAGUCGAGCGAGUGAGUUCUUCGGAACGAUCUAGCGGCGGACGGGUGAGUAACACGUGGGCAACCUGCCUCAUAGAGGGGAAUAGCCUCCCGAAAGGGAGAUUAAUACCGCAUAAAAUUAUCGAGUGGCAUCACAUGAUAAUCAAAGGAGUAAUCCGCUAUGAGAUGGGCCCGCGGCGCAUUAGCUAGUUGGUGAGGUAACGGCUCACCAAGGCGACGAUGCGUAGCCGACCUGAGAGGGUGAUCGGCCACAAUGGGACUGAGACACGGCCCAGACUCCUACGGGAGGCAGCAGUGGGGAAUAUUGCACAAUGGGGGAAACCCUGAUGCAGCAACGCCGCGUGAGUGAUGAAGGUCUUCGGAUUGUAAAGCUCUGUCUUUGGGGACGAUAAUGACGGUACCCAAGGAGGAAGCCACGGCUAACUACGUGCCAGCAGCCGCAGUAA